UUUAGAAAUGACGGAUUUCGAAAAUGAAAAGCCACUGAGAAAGAUAUCAGAGGCGUUUAAGGAGCUAGCUGCCACUGUAAACUCACAAUCUGCUGAUAUUGAAGUCGCUCCAUUCUCUCGAGCUUGCUCUCUCGUCUCUCCUCUUUUUGGCUGUUUGGGUAUCGCCUUCAAGUUCGCCGAGAUGGAUUAUGUUGCUAAGGUUCGUGAUCUUGCAGACGCAUCGAAAGUGAUUGUGACCUUGGAAGCCAUGCUGGAUAGGGACAUGGAACAGAAAACCGUGAGAAAAGCGGGUAGUCAUUCAAGAAAUCUUUUGAGGGUAAAGCGUGGGCUUGACAUGGUCAAGGUUCUCUUUGAGCAAAUUAUUGUUACAGAGGGGAAUUCUUUGAAGGACCCAGCUUCCAAGGCUUAUGCACAAGUAUUUGCUCCUCACCAUGGGUGGGCUAUUAGAAAAGCUGUUGCUGCAGGGAUGUAUGCCCUUCCUACAAAAGCACAACUUUUAAAUAAGCUGAAUGAAGAUGAGACCUCAGCCAGGAUUCAAAUGGAGUAUUAUAUUGCUGCAUCUGCACCAGUCAUUCUCUACA
This 581-nucleotide unclassified non-coding RNA is filed under the name Hevea brasiliensis (rubber tree). Lineage: Eukaryota; Viridiplantae; Streptophyta; Magnoliopsida; Malpighiales; Euphorbiaceae. The record is from RNAcentral.